GACGAACGCUGGCGGCGUGCUUAACACAUGCAAGUCGAACGGAAAGGCCCUGCUUUUGUGGGGUGCUCGAGUGGCGAACGGGUGAGUAACACGUGAGUAACCUGCCCUUGACUUUGGGAUAACUUCAGGAAACUGGGGCUAAUACCGGAUAGGAGCUCCUGCUGCAUGGUGGGGGUUGGAAAGUUUCGGCGGUUGGGGAUGGACUCGCGGCUUAUCAGCUUGUUGGUGGGGUAGUGGCUUACCAAGGCUUUGACGGGUAGCCGGCCUGAGAGGGUGACCGGCCACAUUGGGACUGAGAUACGGCCCAGACUCCUACGGGAGGCGGCAGUGGGGAAUAUUGCACAAUGGGCGGAAGCCUGAUGCAGCAACGCCGCGUGCGGGAUGACGGCCUUCGGGUUGUAAACCGCUUUCGCCUGUGACGAAGCGUGAGUGACGGUAAUGGGUAAAGAAGCACCGGCUAACUACGUGCCAGCAGCCGCGGUGAUACGUAGGGUGCGAGCGUUGUCCGGAUUUAUUGGGCGUAAAGGGCUCGUAGGUGGUUGAUCGCGUCGGAAGUGUAAUCUUGGGGCUUAACCCUGAGCGUGCUUUCGAUACGGGUUGACUUGAGGAAGGUAGGGGAGAAUGGAAUUCCUGGUGGAGCGGUGGAAUGCGCAGAUAUCAGGAGGAACACCAGUGGCGAAGGCGGUUCUCUGGGCCUUUCCUGACGCUGAGGAGCGAAAGCGUGGGGAGCGAACAGGCUUAGAUACCCUGGUAGUCCACGCUGUAAACGGUGGGUACUAGGUGUGGGGUCCGUUCCACGGGUUCCGUGCCGUAGCUAACGCUUUAAGUACCCCGCCUGGGGAGUACGGCCGCAAGGCUAAAACUCAAAGGAAUUGACGGGGCCCCGCACAAGCGGCGGAGCAUGCGGAUUAAUUCGAUGCAACGCGUAGAACCUUACCUGGGUUUGACAUGGAUCGGGAGUGCUCAGAGAUGGGUGUGCCUCUUUUGGGGUCGGUUCACAGGUGGUGCAUGGCUGUCGUCAGCUCGUGUCGUGAGAUGUUGGGUUAAGUCCCGCAACGAGCGCAACCCUUGUUCACUGUUGCCAGCACGUUAUGGUGGGGACUCAGUGGAGACCGCCGGGGUCAACUCGGAGGAAGGUGGGGAUGACGUCAAGUCAUCAUGCCCCUUAUGUCCAGGGCUUCACGCAUGCUACAAUGGCUGGUACAGAGAGUGGCGAGCCUGUGAGGGUGAGCGAAUCUCGGAAAGCCGGUCUCAGUUCGGAUUGGGGUCUGCAACUCGACCUCAUGAAGUCGGAGUCGCUAGUAAUCGCAGAUCAGCAACGCUGCGGUGAAUACGUUCCCGGGGCU
This 1346-nucleotide ribosomal RNA is filed under the name uncultured bacterium. RNAcentral's name for it is "partial 16S ribosomal RNA". It matches the Rfam family "Bacterial small subunit ribosomal RNA", at positions 28 to 1381 of the family's 1533-position model. The record is from RNAcentral.